Paramormyrops kingsleyae is the source of this 349-nucleotide long non-coding RNA. RefSeq lists it as uncharacterized. NCBI's taxonomy places the organism in Eukaryota, Metazoa, Chordata, Actinopteri, Osteoglossiformes, Mormyridae. The record is from RefSeq and is a predicted model, not a curated record.
ACCAUCACCACAACGAAGGCAAGUACCAGCCAGAAACAGAGAAGCGGCGACCUACACAAUUUGUGCCUACAUCGGAAACUCAUGCUGAACAAGCGACAUGAAACUUCAUAGCAAGGAAACGACGCGCCUAAAUCUUUCUGUGAGGUUAUGGACGCCGUGACCUAACAUGCUCUCACGCCGGAGAGGCGGAUGCACAUGAAGGCUGCUUCUCCCGGCCAGCUGGCUGCCCCGCCUGUUUCUCGGUGCAGCACCAGACACGAUUUCUUCAAACUGAUUCCUGGCUAACUUUGCUGUUCCUUCUUUUUCCGACGUGAUUUUACAUUUUCUAAUAAUAAAACAAAGUAAUACA